RNAcentral lists this transfer RNA (76 nucleotides) under Camelus bactrianus (Bactrian camel). It matches the Rfam family "tRNA". Rfam says of the family: Transfer RNA (tRNA) molecules are approximately 80 nucleotides in length. Lineage: Eukaryota; Metazoa; Chordata; Mammalia; Artiodactyla; Camelidae. RNAcentral also lists the same sequence under 2 other names. The record is from Rfam by way of RNAcentral.
GAGGGUAUAGCUCAGUGUUAAGUAUAGCACAUGCUUAGCAUGCAUGAGGUCCUGGGCUCAAUCCCCAGUACCUCCA